GUGGGACGCUAUCUCUCUUCGUUUACACAUCCUUGGAAUAGCAGAACAGCAUAACAAUCCGGACGGCCCUUGCUGUGCCUGGUGAGCAGUUUGUCAAGUUCUGUUGUCAGAAGAGGAAUGGAAAUGUCAGGGUGAACCGAUGACCUGACAAACCCACCACGUAUGUUGACUCUGCCUGUCGGAGGUGGAGUUCCAGAGGUCACAGGUGUUCCUGGCAUGGAUUGUGACUCCAUCUUGUUCCUCGCCCUCUUCAACGCGUCAUUCUCCGCCUGACUCUCCGCCAAUGCCGCCUGACUUUCUGCCAAUGACAAGUGUUUUUCCACCAAUACCGCCUGGCUCUGGACCAAUGCAUCAGCUGUCCCCCAUAUCUCUGGCCUCAGAUAAUGUUUCUCUUUCUGCUGUUAAGGUUGGAGUUUGGGGUGGGUGAGAGAGCUGGAAAGGCAUGACUUUCAUGUUACAAUACGCCAUAAGUAUACAGCAGAUCGACGAUUGUCCUUACUUUGAUUAUGCUGUAACAACAUACUGUAGCACCAUGACCAGGAUCUCAGGUUAUUUAAGUGAGCAGAUUAGGGCUUUCAGGAGGAACAGAAAAUCUACUGGAGACAUUUCAAAAAUACUCGUAGACUUGGGGAUUUUGGUCACGGACAGUGCUCUUCGCAAACACUAUCAUCAGAUGUCUGUCUUACGCCGAACAUGAAAGCCCGGGAAAAUGAACUGGUACAGUAGGCUAAAUACUGGAAAGUAGGCAUAGUAACGCAAAACAUAAUGCUUAAAUAAAUUGACUGUGUCACGACUUCUGCCGAUGUCGGUCCCUCUCCUUGUUUGGGCGGUGUUCGGCGGUCGACGUCACCGGCUUUCUAGCCAUCGCCGAUCCAAUUUUCAUUUUCCAUUUGUUUUGUCUUUGUCUUACACACCUGGUUUCAAUCCCCCAAUUACUUGUUCAUUAUUUAACCCUCUGUUCCCCAUGUUUGUUUGUUUGAGUAAUUGUUUGUCUUGUAUACGGUCUGUUAUUGUUGGCUCGGUAUAUUGUGGUGUAUUUGUGAAUACUUGAGUAAAUACGUUGAUUACUCAUAUCUGCUGUCCUGCGCCUGGCUCGCUACACCAGCUACACACAGGCCAAGUACAGACUGCUGCAAUUUUUACAUUGUAUUCCAUUUCCAGCAAAGCUAUUGAAGCGUUCGACUCACUAAUGGAUGAAGAUGCAAUGGCCAUCAAAAUUGCUACAGAAAAAAGGAAGAAGCUCAAGCAAGCCAAGUCCCAAGCAUCCCCUCAAACUCCAUGUGUGGAGGACAAUUUCUCGCCAGGGACCAGGCCCAUAUUUGAUUUUUGAUGGUAUCAAGAGAUAUGCUGGACCCUAUGUCAGAGGUGUUUGUGGGACCGCAUUGUUUCUUUCAAGACAAUGACCCAAACCAAAUCGGGGGAUUUUCACACCUACAGCAGCUGGGCUAUGCAGAGUUUGCGUGUCAAUUUAUAAACCAUGUGCCAUGGAAUUCUUCACAACUAUUUUGCAAUCUAUAUGGCUAUCCAACAUUUUGCGGUUGCAUGAGCUCUUGAGUUAGAAAUGUAAUAGUUUAGAGUACUUAAGCAUUGAAUAUAUUGCAAAUUGGGGGAUUUUCACACCUACAGUAGCCAGGCUAUAAAGAGUCUUUUGUCCUGCUAAUAGGAAACAUUGUUUGCAUGAUGGGCUACACCUGCUACAGUACUGCAGUACACUUAUGAAAACCUGUUUUCAAAAUGCCUCCAGAUGUCCGUCACUACUGUAAAUAAAAACACAGCAUAUUGUUUACAUUCUUUAUUGUAACCACAUUGUCACAAAUAAUUUGUAUCUACCUUUCCAAUUACUUUUCGAGUUUGGGAUUUACAAAAACCUUAGUAUAACAACAGUUUUAGUAAGUAAUAUGCUACAGUCCAGUUAAAGCUUGUUCUGAUCAAGUAGUAACAAAAAAAUAUGUGUAUUUUUUCGUUGUUUCUUUAGAGGGACCAUAAAUGUGAAUUAAUAUUUACAAAACAAUUCACCAAACAAAACUGCAACUUUUUAUUUAUUUAACCUUUACUUAACUAGGCAAGUCAGUUAAGAACAAAUUCUUAUUUACAAUGACAGCCUACCCUGACAAAACCCAGAUGAGGCUGGGCCAAAUGUGCGCCGCCCUAUUGAACUCCCAAUCACAGCCGGAUGUGAUACAGCUUGGAUCCAAACCAGGAACUGUAGAGAUGCCUCUUGCACUGAGAUGCAGU
Salmo salar (Atlantic salmon) is the source of this 2235-nucleotide non-coding RNA. The record is from RefSeq and is a predicted model, not a curated record. NCBI's taxonomy places the organism in Eukaryota, Metazoa, Chordata, Actinopteri, Salmoniformes, Salmonidae.